Molecule: ribosomal RNA, 482 nt
Filed under: uncultured bacterium
Lineage: Bacteria
Description: partial 16S ribosomal RNA
Rfam family: Bacterial small subunit ribosomal RNA
Source: RNAcentral
AUUGAACGCUGGCGGCAUGCUUUACACAUGCAAGUCGAACGGUAACAGGCCGCGAGGUGCUGACGAGUGGCGAACGGGGGAGUAAUGCAUCGGAACGUGCCCAGUCGUGGGGGAUAACUACUCGAAAGAGUAGCUAAUACCUCAUACGAUCUAUGGAUGAAAGCGGGGGACCGUAAGGCCUCGCGCGAUUGGAGCGGCCGAUGUCAGAUUAGGUAGUUGGUGGGGUAAAGGCUCACCAAGCCAACGAUCUGUAGCUGGUCUGAGAGGACAACCCGCCACACUGGGACUGAGACACGGCCCAGACUCCUACGGGAGGCAGCAGUGGGGAAUUUUGGACAAUGGGCGCAAGCCUGAUCCAGCAAUGCCGCGUGCAGGAAGAAGGCCUUCGGGUUGUAAACUGCUUUUGUACGGAACGAAACGGCUCUGGUUAAUACCCGGGGCUAAUGACGGUACCGUAAGAAUAAGCACCGGCUAACUACGUG